GGGAGCUGCUGGAAACGGCAAAUUCCGUGCGUUUGAGGUCUCAGUGUUAUAUGUUAUUUUAUUGUUGUUCAAGGCAGAUGUUACUAUUUAUUUUCCCUUUUUGCUCUGGUUUGAUUUGGCUAGUGUGGACAGUCCAGUGCACAUGGUACCUGACGGAUAUGACAGAAAUUAUUUUCCCCAACUUUUAUAAAUUACCCGAUGUUUACCCUCGAGUUUGCUGGAUGAUUUAUUUUUGAAAGCCACAAAUGUAGUUUUUCUGGAUGAAUUGUUUUUCUUAUAAAUGCAGCAGUGUAAUUUUACAUUGAUCUGCAGGGUGAUUUAAAUUUUAUUUUUACAAGGCAGUUUUUCAGUCAGAUUAUAUAUUUGAUACAAUAUGUUAAGGGCAGACCAGCCAAGCGCCGUGCAGUUGGGACACCAGACUGUCUCCAGGAGGCCUUGGGAGGCUGGGCUGGCUUCUCUCGGUCGCUCCGCAUUGUGGACGCACGGGGCUUGUCCCACCGAGCCGUCUGUCAGCAUCCAGAUGGGCUUCUUCAGUGGGACUUUGAUCUCUUGGGCAGUUAGGAAGAUUUUUCAUGGGCAUUUUCCUACACCUCUUAAGGAAGUUCCGUUGGGAGCUUUAGACGUUGACGUAAUCCAGACAGUGGACAAUCCCAGUGGCCCAGACAAGCCAUAGACAUUUUCCUGUGACCUCCGCUCACUCAUCUCUCACGCUCCUGAGAAAAGGAAUGUACAGUAGGUAGAAACUUCCUCAGUGUUCGUGCCCCUCACUUGCAGAUGCGAAUAUGGUGUUUGUAUCUUCAGCCCUCCCCCCAAAGCAACCAUGAAUCUCUCUCUGGCUGCCGUGCCAGCAGUUUUGGCUGCUGUGACGUUGUUCAGUGUAGGCAAGUGCACGUGUGACUUUGUGAUAGGGCUGUGUCCGUGUUACACACACACUGAAACUUUUGGUAAGGAAAACUCUCAACUCAAAAUAAUUGCACUGAUUUUGUGACAGCUUGCUUUUUUAUCACGUCCAACUUGGCCUCUGCUGUACCCGUUUGACACGAUUGUAAAUAGAGGUAGGAUAGCAGAAAUGACGUGACCGCAGCGCGUUGCUUUGUUUCGCGAGACCGCCGCGUCUGCUCAGCAUUUUGCGCCGGAGCUCGUGGACCGGCGCCGCCCUUCCCCUCUCCAGCCGUGUCUGCUGACCAGGCACGAAGGACAGUCGAGCCUCCUCGUCCUUGCUGUCUUUCCCUGAAAGCAAGUUGCCGUCUUCUGGAAGGAGAGAGCGUGCGCUCCCUGCCGUCCGAAGGGUUCAUGCUAAGAGGAGUCACUGUCACUCCGUGGAACACUUUUGGUCUGUUGGCUUCCUUGUCAUUUGCCGUGACUCCCUAAAGCGUUUUGCUUCGAGCUCCGUCCAGCAUUUGACAGCGUGGGCAGGAAGCGUCUGAAUGGCCCAUGUUCCUAGAGAGCUGGGGCCUCCCUGGCUUCUCUUGGGUCAGCCGUCAUACUAAAGCCAUGAGGUCGCUGUGGGGUCAGACCCAUCCUUUGUGGCUUAGCCCAUAGAUGCUGGGCAGACCUCAAGUCCAGUGCUGUUCCUCUCGGCCUUGCCAUUUGCCAGAUUUGAAGUGUGUCUCCAGCCCACAGGGUGUCGCUCUGUUUGUGGUCAGGCAGCCCAGCAUCAGACACACAAAGGGGCCUUUACACCCAAACCGUUCACCCGAGUGUGUGUGACUGUCACGUUGGUGCCAUCUCCGUGCCCUCCCUUAAUGCUUUUUUGGAUGUUUUGCCAUUUUAGUGUCUAAAGUGAAUGUAUUGGCUCAGCCAUAUCACUACAGAAGCUGGUUUCUAAAUACCUUUUAGAUUAAAAAUAAAUGCAGAUAAAGGCUACCUCUGAAUUCUCAAUAGUUUCACGUUUGCUUUUCAGCGGAGCUAUCCACACUGAAAAUAGCCAAAACGUUGCCUGAAUAAACUGAAUUGUGAACAUCUAUCUCUCUGUCCGGUUCUGGCUUGAAAACCGUGUGCCAUACUGUGACCCACGGGCAGUCCCCUCCAUCCCCUGCUGUCAGGGCCGCCCAGCUCCGCGCGUCUAGCCCUCUGAGUGGCCAGCAGCAGGCGUGAAACGAGAGGGCCUCUGCACUGUCCGCGGCGGGGCCGUGGGGCGGCCGGACCUGGAGACGAGCUGCCUUCCUGGCUUUUCACUUUCCUUUUUGCCCGAAGAAUGCCCUUUUUGCUCCCGCUUUCCUUACGACUGGGUUGCAAAUGGCCCUUCCUCGCUGUCCCCUCUUUUGUACGCUCGGAAACCGCAAAGGUGCUCACACACUGACGCUCGUGCGCAUGCUGCGUGGACUGCAUGGUUUCAAAACGCGAUGCCGACGUCAUUGACCUUUGGCGUGGGAACCUUGAGUUACUGUCACUCCAAACUUUACAGUGAUCCAAGGUUUGAAAGCAAAAUGUUCUCUUCAAAUCCAAGGCCCUUUGUUUGAAAGGGACACAGGGUCCAGGGCGGCACCUGGCAGCGGGAGUUCGCGCUGUCGGAGGCCGUCCUGGGAGGGCGUGUCUUCACGUGUGAUUAACCACUUGCUGCCAGAAAUGUCCUCCGCCCACGCGCUGCGGUGGGCCGGUCACUGUCACCCUCUGCCUCCUCCGUGUCUUCCCUCUGGCUUCCUCACCGCUCUCAUCUUUGGAAGGCGAGCCUCUGCUCCAGGGCGCCUGCGCAGUGCGCUCCUGCGUGGACAGGUGGGCAUGACGCGUCACAAACGCCCAGGUGGGUGGAGCCGGCUCCGCUGCCCUGGACGCUGGGCAGACCUCGCCGCGGGCCGGGGAGGUGCCAGGUGCAGUCUCCGCGGCGGUCCUUGCCUUGGGUGCUGCUGUCUGCAGGCCACCCGGUGCGCUUUAAGUGUCCUUCGAGGCCUUCCCGCAGUCACGCUGUGGUGUAGACACAGGCACGCACCCCAAGCAGCAUGGACGCUGGGGGGGUUGCCCACCACGUGUGCCAGUCUGCUUCCAGGGCUGCUGGAGUCCCCUCUGAGGCGGCCUCGUCUUCAGCCAGAGUCUCACAGGGUUGUUCGGGGGCCGCUACCCAAUGGCCCUUCCUCGUGUUAGUGAUGCAAACUUUUGGACCCGGAUGGACCCGUGCUUUUUGCACGCCUGACUCCGGAGCCCUGGGGUGGGGCCGUCUUUGCAUUCAAGAAAGAUCAGUAAGAUGAGGGAGCUGAGGGUUACCUGCGCUUUUGUUAACCCUCUUCUAUCUUCGUGUUGGUGUGAGAAUGUCCCGUGUCGCAUCUCGGAAAGCCCUUGGAGGUGUGACCGAAGGGUGGAGUCCGGCCCCCGCCCCAUCCCCUCCUCAGGCAGGCGGGUAGAGCAGCCGAGGUAUCUCCUGUUUACAUCUUCCUCCGACUGAAGCAGUUCAGAGUUAAAGCUAAAACACCAAAUAUUGACACCCCCCCGCCCCCACCCCCCAUGUCUCCAGGAACUCGAUGGUGAGGCCAACCUCAUUCGGUCUUUCUGAGCCUGCGAGGUCCUUAGAACCGUGGCUUGAUCCCAGAACACCUGCCCCGCCGGGCCAGGGCAUGCGGUGCACACUGGCUGCCUGGCACCACUUGACAGAACUGGGUGCUUGUGUCGGGCCCGGGGCGCCUUUGAACUCUGGAGCUGUGGGAACAGUCCUGGGGAGUGGCCGAGGGCAGGCCCCUCUGACCCAAGAAGCAGGGGGCACCCAGGCGUCCUCUGGUGCCUGCCGGUGCCCGGCCGAGUGUGUUCUGGAGAGAGACACAGCCUCAGCCUCUGUGCCUUUCAGGCCCGGUCCUCAGCGUCCUCCUGGAGCCAUGCUGGGGCUGCUGUCCUGUGUCACCGUCGGUCACUGACCCUCUGCCUUGGCAGCUGCUCCUGCUCCUCGACUCCGGAUGCGCUGCCUCCUCUCGGAAGCUGCUGGGUUCUAGUUGCAGGCUUUCCCCGGGCCCUGAGCAAGUCCACGGCUGCUGUGCUUCCAGGAAAGGGAGCAGGACCCACCUCUUAGGCAGGCACCGACUGACCGUCGGCACCCGGGGGGUUUGUUCUCGUGGUCACUCAGCAAGAGUAGCGAGUGUGAUGGAACCAAGCUUUUAGAAGGAAGGUGCUGGAAUCGGCAUUGUGUCUUUGUAAAACGAGCGUGGAGUCCUCGGUUGUGAGGUGCUAUUUCCAUUCCCGUCCUUUGGAGGGCUUCUCUCGGCCGUUCCCCGUGUGCGGGGAAACUGCUUCCUCCUCGGGGGUGCUGUCACCUGGAGCCGUGCACGCGGGACUCCGGUUUUGACGUCUCGAAAAUGCAGGUCUUAGCUCUGACGUUUCCAAGGCAGGUGUUGAGCAGUUUUUCUUGGCUGAUGGUCUAAUUAAAAACCACCCUUCCCCAUCGAGGAAUGAUCUUAUUGGUUUUGUUGAGUGGGGGAGAUAAUCCAGUGUUACUUGUUUUAGAAUGUCUAGCAAAGCCUUCGUGGUGGCUGCUCCCCGGGCCCCCACUCUGAAGGGCAGCAGCCCUUUCCUUGCAGAGGUGCCGGCGGCAGCAGAGGCUGUGCAGGACCGACUGGGUUCCUCUUCAAAGCCAAAUACACCCAUGACUGAAUUCCCGCAAGUCUGUAGUUUAGCCCGAAAGUGAGAUUUGACUCCUGAGUUUGCUAGUGUGAAUUUUAAAUGUAGUUGUUGAAGGUAUAAAUUCAUGUUUUGUAACUGUACAGGCAAGUGAGUUUUUACUUUUUAAGAAGUUUUAAGGGAAUAAUUGUAAGUUUCUGUGCAGCAAAGUGGCUAAUUACUCAUUAAAUACAAGAAAAGAAUGUAGUGUCUAAAUCCAGAUUUUUUCUUACCUCUGGUACAUUUCAGAUGACUUACCUAAUAUGUAUUGAGGGGCUUUAACCCUGAGUUUUAUCAACUUUUCUAGUUUUAUUUUAUUUUUAUAAAAUAAUUGAAAAAACCAAAAAUGAAUUCAAACGUUCUAUAGGUAGACCUUGUUCUUCUUAAUUUUCCCCCACCCCCCCAAAAAAAAUUAGAAGACAUUUUGAAUCAAAAUGUAUUAUGGUCGUUUAAAGUUUACUCUUUUCUAAGAAGCUAAGCAGCUACAAGGGCCCCAUUUCGGGUGGUGCUCCGCCUGCUGUCUGCGGACGUGUUUACCUGUAUGGUGGGUCUGUGUGACCAUGUCUUGUGCUUGCGGUAUAGAAACCGUGCAGUGCUGUUGUGUAAAUUGACAGUUCCUAUAUAAACUAGUAUUUAUAAACAUUGGCCUCGCUGUAUAACUUUUCAUUUGCUACAUGAAUUGUAAAAUUAAACAUAAAAUUACAAUACCUGCUAAAUACGAUUCUGAGGCUUCCUGUCCUUGUCUUUAGUUAAAUGCCAUUCUGUGUGUUUUGAGGAUGCCCAAUGCUUGCAUGAUGCUAGGUGGUGAUGCCACUUUAAAUUAAGCCUUAAUCAGAUGUUAAACUUGUAUAAGUUUCAGAGUAUGCAAAAAUAUUAGGCAGAAUGAGUUUAACCUGUUCGGAUUCGAGAUGCUAUAUCAUAAUUCAACAAAUCUUUUCUCCAGAGUUACAAAGGGAAACUUUCAGUGAUACAGACCUCUCGCUCUCCCCCUCCCUCUCUCUCUCUCUGACCCCCACCCCCGCACCCCCAAUUUCUGGUCUGGCUUGGCUGUUGCCAUUGCUUGAUGAAAAUGGACCAUUGUGCAUUUCUGUGGCAGUCAGUCAAAAAGACCAUUCUAAAAGUCUUGAGACUUUUUCAGGGUUCUGUUUAAUGUUUGAUGUUUUUUUUUUUUUUUUCCCUCCUUCUGAGGUUUAUUUAUAGCCGAUGGAGAGUAUCAUUUGGGCAUAAAUCUUCUUUGCAGACCUGCUCCUGUUCUCAGUUUUCUUCAGGUAGUACCACCUGUCAUUGCUUCUGCACAUGAUUAAAUGGAUUUUUGUUUUUGUAAAAGCAUCUUCAAUUUAGACAUAAAAUGGAGGGGACCCAGCUUUCUUUACAAUGUGGAUCUACCUCAGUUAAACAGUUGGGUGCUAUUUACUAAGUCUGUCAAAUUAAAUCGGAAAAAGUAACGAAACAGUGAGCUGUAACUCCAAACAAAGCUUGAAAUCAUAAUUUCUGUUUAUUUAAUAAUACUUUUAUUUAUUUUGUGCCUUUUGUGUUGAAUCCUAAUGCAUUGAAAAAAUCAGUAUGGAAUUUAAAUGUUUUAUAUUGUAUGUGGGGAGAAAAAGCCCAAUUGGCCAUGGAAUUUGAUAGAACACCCCAGCCAACUGCUAACAUUUAUUGGAAUCCCAACUGCCCUUUUGUGAAAGGAAAAAAAAA
Molecule: long non-coding RNA, 6273 nt
Filed under: Sus scrofa (pig)
Lineage: Eukaryota; Metazoa; Chordata; Mammalia; Artiodactyla; Suidae
Description: lncRNA (ENSSSCG00060067518.1)
Source: RNAcentral